UCGCCCCGCCCGCCGCGCGCGGCGGGCGGGGCGGGGGCACGGGGGGCCUACGGGAGGCAGCAGUGGGGAAUAUUGCACAAUGGGGGAAACCCUGAUGCAGCCAUGCCGCGUGUGUGAAGAAGGCYUUCGGGUUGUAAAGCACUUUCAGYUGUGAGGAAAGGUUGGUAGUUAAUACCYGCCAGCUGUGACGUUAACWACAGAAGAAGCACCGGCUAACUCCGUGCCAGCAGCCGCGGUAAUACGGAGGGUGCRAGCGUUAAUCGGAAUUACUGGGCGUAAAGCGCRCGCAGGYGGUUUGUUAAGCKAGAUGUGAAAGCCCCGGGCUCAACCUGGGAWGKKCAUUUAGAACUGGCAGACUAGAGUCYUGKAGAGGGKAGUGGAAUUYCAGGUGUAGCGGUGAAAUGCGUAGAUAUSUGRAGGAACAUCAGUGGCGAAGGCGGCYMCCUGGMCWAAGACUGACGCUCAUGUGCGAAAGYGUGGGUAGCGAACAGGAUUAGAUACCCUGGUAGUCCACRCCGUAAACGMUGUCUACUAGYUGUYUGKGAAYUURAUUCGUGAGUAACGAAGCUAACGCGAUAAGUAGACCGCCUGGGGAGUACGGCCGCAGGUAAAACUCAAUGAUUGACGG
This 628-nucleotide ribosomal RNA is filed under the name uncultured bacterium. RNAcentral's name for it is "partial 16S ribosomal RNA". It matches the Rfam family "Bacterial small subunit ribosomal RNA", at positions 305 to 916 of the family's 1533-position model. The record is from RNAcentral.